AUUGAGCCACACUAAAAAAGAGCUUGAGCAGAGUGGUAAAGAGUCCCCUUUUCUAUCCAAUGCCAAAUAGGAAACAUUGACUUACUUUUACUUAGACAGAGGUCACAACCAGCAAUGAUACUGCAGAUACUGCUCAGUUCCUAGUGUGAACCGUCUUGCUUUUCAGAACAGCAUAAGAAUUAUUUCUGAGUGGAGGUGAGGCUUGUCCAAAUGUCUUUGCUAUCAUGGAUUUCCUGACUCCUACCUGUUUGAGG
RNAcentral lists this long non-coding RNA (254 nucleotides) under Homo sapiens (human). RNAcentral describes it as "non-protein coding lnc-SCN9A-72:3". Lineage: Eukaryota; Metazoa; Chordata; Mammalia; Primates; Hominidae. The record is from RNAcentral.